GUGUUCACUUUGACAGAACAUAUUUAAAAGUGGAAUGAUACAGAGAAUAUUAGCAUGGCUCCUGCACAUGGAUGACAUACAAAUGUUUUUUUAAAAAAAUUU
Molecule: small nuclear RNA, 102 nt
Filed under: Octodon degus (degu)
Lineage: Eukaryota; Metazoa; Chordata; Mammalia; Rodentia; Octodontidae
Source: RNAcentral